RNAcentral lists this ribosomal RNA (303 nucleotides) under uncultured bacterium. Its description in RNAcentral is "partial 16S ribosomal RNA". It matches the Rfam family "Bacterial small subunit ribosomal RNA", at positions 507 to 807 of the family's 1533-position model. The record is from RNAcentral.
AGCAGCAGCCACGGUAAUACAGAGGGUGCAAGCGUUAAUCGGAUUUACUGGGCGUAAAGGGCGCGUAGGUGGUUAUGUAAGUGAGAUGUGAAAUCCCCGGGCUCAACCUGGGAACUGCAUCUUAUACUGCGUAGCUGGAGUGCAGUAGAGGGUAGUGGAAUUUCCGGUGUAGCGGUGAAAUGCGUAGAUAUCGGAAGGAACACCAGUGGAGAAGGCGGCUACCUGGACUGACACUGACACUGAGGCGCGAAAGCGUGGGGAGCAAACAGGAUUAGAUACCCCGGUAGUCCCUGUCUCUUAUAC